ACAAAUCUUCUGAUCGUCCCACGUGCCAUUUGCACAACAAUCAGGUGCACGUCUGAACUUAAUUAGGAUUGGUAGGAGCAAUCAACGAAUUAUCACACACGGGUUCAACAAAUUGCCUUCAUAUCUCUUUUAUGUUCCAAUAGAACCAAAUCAUUUGCAUUUUCUAAAAAUAGAAAAAAAAACACCAUUAGCCACGAAAACACCAAACACCAUUAGCCAUGAACAAACUUCCAGCUUGGUUAUAAAUAACCUAAUUGAUAUUUCCAAAGUACUCUUUCUGUUUGGAUCAACCUCACGCUUCACUGCUGCUACCCCCAUCCCAAACCUGGAAAAAAGGAACGGUUUGCUCAACAAAGGUAGCCAAGCAGCAAAAGCAGAGAUAGUACGUACUGAAUUUUUUAGAAAAGCUAUAGCGAGACAUAUAGAAAAAUUAUUGAACACUCCAAAAUUGGAAACAGAUGCCUACUAAACAUUACUUGACAUAUCCUUGACGUAAAAGAAGUCACAAAAAAUAUUUUCGUUGUAAGCAUAGAUUCAGAUUGCAAUUAGGACUUAGUUAUCGGCUAACUAUUCAUCCGAAGCAAACACCGUGAACCCUAUUUUACAGAAACGGGUAGCACACCAAACCUCAAUUAACUGGCCAAAAAUUUCAGAAAACAACUACAGUUAACUAAGCACUGAAAUUUACAUUAGUCAUGGAUCAAACAAUCUGCUGCAGUCAUUGUAUACAAGGGAAGUUUUCGUUUUCAUGCAUCGAACAAGGAGGGGGGAAAUGAACAAUACCUCCAGUCCAGCCGUUGGUAGCUUCAGAUCACACCUGAAUCCCGUCAAAUUCAGGGGGAAUCUAACGCUUUGCCUGGCGCCGCCCAGUUUCCUGGCACGUCAGAUUUCCCCAUUGGCGAUGCGAAGAGACUCGAUCGGCCUCAUCACGACUAGAGGGCCAGUGUCCAGAACUGGCAGCCUACGGACGAGGAAAAGGAAAACCAAAACAAUAAGAACAGGCUGUAGAGGAGAAUUAGUGGAAAACACGUCACCUGCACUCUCCAGGCCGAGGGACUUCCAUAGACUCCGGCGUGGUGAAGCAGGUGGACUGGAUCUGAAAGAGGAAGCAGGCGGCGUGGUCAACCAAAUCCAAAUCCACAAAGUAUGCCGGGGGAUUAAGCAUGUCAGGACAUCAGGAUGAAGGGGGGAAAUAAUAUACAUACCUGUCGGAGUCGACCCCAAACAUCUUGCCGGAGAGCGACGGCGCCCCGUCGGCCUUGGGAGAGACAGGGGAGCGGAGAAGAAGAGUUGUUCCGUGGCUGGGGUAAUUCCACGAGGUCAAGGAUAACGGCAGGAGGAGGCACACGAGCAGGAUAUGGGCCAAACAUGUACGCUGGGCCGAUGUAUUCCGGACCGUAUAUUGGAUGCCUAGG
This 1415-nucleotide long non-coding RNA is filed under the name Triticum aestivum (bread wheat). RNAcentral's name for it is "long non-coding RNA (TAES_LNC013184)". The record is from RNAcentral. Lineage: Eukaryota; Viridiplantae; Streptophyta; Magnoliopsida; Poales; Poaceae.